Molecule: small nuclear RNA, 103 nt
Organism: Chiloscyllium plagiosum (whitespotted bambooshark)
Lineage: Eukaryota; Metazoa; Chordata; Chondrichthyes; Orectolobiformes; Hemiscylliidae
Source: RefSeq, a predicted model, not a curated record
GCUUGCUUUGACAAUGUAUAUGAAAAUUGGACCAAUACAGAGAAGAUUACCAUGCUCCCUAUGCAACAAAAGCUCAGAACGUCAUGAAGCAUUCAUUUUUUUU